AUAACAAUACAGGACUCUUUCCAGGCCCUGUAAUUGGAAUGAGUCCACUUUAAAUCCUUUAAUGAGGAUCUAGUGGAGGGCAAGUCUGGUGCAGAGCGAAUGACCGUGCGUGCUGCAGCUGAAACUCUGCUAUCGCCUGCUGCUGC
Molecule: non-coding RNA, 146 nt
Organism: Pelobates cultripes (western spadefoot toad)
Lineage: Eukaryota; Metazoa; Chordata; Amphibia; Anura; Pelobatidae
Source: the annotation of a GenBank genome assembly